UCCCGUGUGGCUCAGUUGGUAGAGCAUGGUGUUUGUAAUGCCAGGGUUGUGGGUUCGAUGCCCACGGGGGAU
This 72-nucleotide transfer RNA is filed under the name Salmo salar (Atlantic salmon). It matches the Rfam family "tRNA". From Rfam's summary of the family: Transfer RNA (tRNA) molecules are approximately 80 nucleotides in length. Their secondary structure includes four short double-helical elements and three loops (D, anti-codon, and T loops). Lineage: Eukaryota; Metazoa; Chordata; Actinopteri; Salmoniformes; Salmonidae. The record is from Rfam by way of RNAcentral.